This 546-nucleotide ribosomal RNA is filed under the name Bacillus sp. (in: firmicutes). RNAcentral describes it as "bacterial SSU rRNA". It matches the Rfam family "Bacterial small subunit ribosomal RNA", at positions 380 to 918 of the family's 1533-position model. The record is from RNAcentral. Lineage: Bacteria; Bacillati; Bacillota; Bacilli; Caryophanales; Bacillaceae.
AGUCUGACGGAGCACGCCGCGUGAGUGAUGAAGGUUUUCGGAUCGUAAAACUCUGUUGUUAGGGAAGAACAAGUGCGAGAGUAACUGCUCGCACCUUGACGGUACCUAACCAGAAAGCCACGGCUAACUACGUGCCAGCAGCCGCGGUAAUACGUAGGUGGCAAGCGUUGUCCGGAAUUAUUGGGCGUAAAGCGCGCGCAGGCGGUUUCUUAAGUCUGAUGUGAAAGCCCCCGGCUCAACCGGGGAGGGUCAUUGGAAACUGGGAAACUUGAGUGCAGAAGAGGAGAGUGGAAUUCCACGUGUAGCGGUGAAAUGCGUAGAGAUGUGGAGGAACACCAGUGGCGAAGGCGACUCUCUGGUCUGUAACUGACGCUGAGGCGCGAAAGCGUGGGGAGCGAACAGGAUUAGAUACCCUGGUAGUCCACGCCGUAAACGAUGAGUGCUAAGUGUUAGAGGGUUUCCGCCCUUUAGUGCUGCAGCUAACGCAUUAAGCACUCCGCCUGGGGAGUACGGUCGCAAGACUGAAACUCAAAGGAAUUGGACGGA